RNAcentral lists this long non-coding RNA (668 nucleotides) under Brassica rapa (field mustard). Its description in RNAcentral is "long non-coding RNA (BRAP_LNC002076)". Lineage: Eukaryota; Viridiplantae; Streptophyta; Magnoliopsida; Brassicales; Brassicaceae. The record is from RNAcentral.
AAGGUGUGACCCAACAUUUUACACUAAUAAAAUAUACUGUAUGAGAUAAUUUUUCCCAUAAAACUUAGUAUAUUUCCUAGAAUUGUGGGUUUAUUAACUUUUACUAGUAAUAAAAGAUCAAUUUAAUAUUGCUAAAAUAUCAAAGGUAAAUUAUGAUUAUGUUAUAAGAACCAAUUUUUAAUGAAUCUAAGGAGGAGGAGGAGGAUUAUUGGGAUAUUGAUUUGUCUAGAAUUAAGAACUUUAGAAGUUAAUAAAAUUUAAUGUUAUGUGAAUUCUGAAAAUAUGUAUAUUUAGAUUAGUAAAUGUUAUCAUAUAUUUUUUAUAAAUUACUACGGAUUUUCAUGGGUUUGUUUUAACUCCUUCAUUCCCUUUGCAAAGUAAAUAUAUGAUUUAUGUUUUACUAAGAAUUUCCAAAAUUUAAUUUCUUCCAAUAUAGUGUGCUUAUUGUUUUUUUUGUAUAAAUAUUUAUUUGUUUAUAAGAAGAUGAUCAUAUUAUUUUUUUUUUUUUGACAUCAAUAAAGAAAACAGACUCAUAUAGACUCUGUUAACCAAGAGGGUAGCUCUGCAUCCAUGUGAACGACGAACGACGCUUGAAUUCUUGCACUACGUGCUAGUUUGUCCGUCUGUGUGUUCUGCGUUCUUGGUACAUAGAUGAUCUCCGAGCUCUG